RNAcentral lists this ribosomal RNA (510 nucleotides) under uncultured bacterium. Its description in RNAcentral is "partial 16S ribosomal RNA". It matches the Rfam family "Bacterial small subunit ribosomal RNA", at positions 28 to 507 of the family's 1533-position model. The record is from RNAcentral.
GACGAACGCUGGCGGCGUGCUUAACACAUGCAAGUCGAACGAAGAGCGAUGGAAGCUUGCUUCUAUCAAUCUUAGUGGCGAACGGGUGAGUAACGCGUAAUCAACCUGCCCUUCAGAGGGGGACAACAGUUGGAAACGACUGCUAAUACCACAUACGAUCUAAUCUCGGCAUCGAGGAUAGAUGAAAGGUGGCCUCUACAUGUAAGCUAGCGCUGCAGGAGGGGAUUGCGUCUGAUUAGCUAGUAGGAGGGGUAACGGCGCACCAAGGCGAUGAUCAGUAGCCGGUCUGAGAGGAUGAACGGCCACAUUGGGACUGAGACACGGCACAGACGCCUACGGGAGGCAGCAGUGGGGAAUCUUGCGCAAUGGACGAAAGUCUGACGGAGCAACGCCGCGUGAGUGAUGACGGCCUUCGGGUUGUAAAGCUCUGUUAAUCGGGACGAAAGGGCUUCUGGCGAAUAGUGAGAAGGAUUGACGGUACCGGAAGAGAAAGCCACGGCUAACUACGUG